GGGUAUAUAGCUCAGUGGUAGAGUGCAUGCCUACGAUGUAUGAAGUCCGGGGUUCAGUCCCCGGUACCUCCA
This 72-nucleotide transfer RNA is filed under the name Camelus bactrianus (Bactrian camel). It matches the Rfam family "tRNA". Rfam says of the family: Transfer RNA (tRNA) molecules are approximately 80 nucleotides in length. Lineage: Eukaryota; Metazoa; Chordata; Mammalia; Artiodactyla; Camelidae. The record is from Rfam by way of RNAcentral. RNAcentral also lists the same sequence under 1 other name.